Non-coding RNA from Cricetulus griseus (Chinese hamster), 209 nucleotides. NCBI's taxonomy places the organism in Eukaryota, Metazoa, Chordata, Mammalia, Rodentia, Cricetidae. The record is from RefSeq and is a predicted model, not a curated record.
GUUUGGCUUGCCGUACAGACUGCUGCCCACCUGCUGGCUCGGUCACUCUAACUUAUCUGAGAAAACUGCAGUGAAGGAAAUACCCAAUGAAGCUCUCCCUCAAUGUGGAGCAACAAAGGAAGGAAACCCUGAAAGUGGACCAGAGGAAGAGCCUUCCUCCAGUAGCUAAUGGAAGCAGAAGCAGAGACCUACAACUAAGCACUGAGCUG